RNAcentral lists this ribosomal RNA (209 nucleotides) under uncultured bacterium. Its description in RNAcentral is "partial 16S ribosomal RNA". It matches the Rfam family "Bacterial small subunit ribosomal RNA", at positions 568 to 774 of the family's 1533-position model. The record is from RNAcentral.
CGUGUAGGCGGCUUGUCAAGUUGGAGUUGAAAACCGGCGGCUUAACCGUCGAAGUGGCCCCAAUACUGACGAGCUUGAGUCGCGGAGGGGAUGCUGGAACUCGUAGUGGAGCGGUGGAAUGCGCAGAGAUUACGAGGAACACCGAAGGCGAAGGCAGGCAUCUGGUCGACGACUGACGCUGAGGCGGAGAACGGCCGGGGGAGCAAACA